AUUGAACGCUGGCGGCAGGCCUAACACAUGCAAGUCGAGCGGAUGAAGGGAGCUUGCUUCUGGUUUCAGCGGCGGACGGGUGAGUAAUGCCUAGGAAUCUGCUUGCUUGUGGGGGAUAACGUCCGGAAACGGGCGCUAAUACUGCAUACGUCCUGAGGGAGCAAGAGGGGGAUCUUCGGACCUCUCGCUAUCAGAUGAGCCUAGGUCGGAUUAGCUAGUUGGUGGGGUAAAGGCCUGCCAAGGCGACGAUCCGUAACUGGUCUGAGAGGAUGAUCAGUCACACUGGAACUGAGACGGGGUCCAUACUCCUACGAGAGGCAGCAGUGGGGAAUAUUGGGCAGUAGGCGAAAGCCUGAUACAGCCAUGCCGCGUGUGUGAAGAAGGUCUUCGGAUUGUAAAGAACUUUAAGUUGGGAGGAAGGGCAGUAAGUUAAUACCUUGCUGUUUUGACGUUACCAACAGAAUAAGCACCGGCUAACUACGUG
RNAcentral lists this ribosomal RNA (484 nucleotides) under uncultured bacterium. Its description in RNAcentral is "partial 16S ribosomal RNA". It matches the Rfam family "Bacterial small subunit ribosomal RNA", at positions 30 to 507 of the family's 1533-position model. The record is from RNAcentral.